GAUCCUGGCUCAGGAUGAACGCUGGCGGCGUGCUUAACACAUGCAAGUCGAGCGAAGCACUUAAGUUAGAUUCUUCGGAUGAAGACUUUUGUGACUGAGCGGCGACGGGUGAAGGUAACGCGUGGGUAACCUGCCUCAUACAGGGGGAUAACAGUUAGAAAUGGCUGCUAAUACCGCAUAAGACCACAGUACUGCAUGGUACAGUGGUAAAAACUCCGGUGGUAUGAGAUGGACCCGCGU
RNAcentral lists this ribosomal RNA (240 nucleotides) under uncultured bacterium. RNAcentral describes it as "partial 16S ribosomal RNA". It matches the Rfam family "Bacterial small subunit ribosomal RNA", at positions 15 to 236 of the family's 1533-position model. The record is from RNAcentral.